UGGUCAAGUUAUUAAGGGUGCAGGGCGGAUGCCUUGGCACUAGGAGCCGAUGAAGGACGUGAUAAGCUGCGAUAAGCUUCGGGGAGUUGCACGUAAACUUUGAUCCGAAGAUUUCCGAAUGAGGAAACUCACUUAGAGUAAUGUCUAAGUAUCAUUAAGUGAAUACAUAGCUUAAUGAGGGGAACUCAGGGAACUGAAACAUCUAAGUACCUGAAGGAAGAGAAAGAAAUUCGAUUCCGUAAGUAGCGGCGAGCGAACGCGGAUUAGCCCAAACCAAUAAAGUUUUCUUUAUUGGGGUUGCGGACAUAUCAUAACGAAGAGGUAUCGUAAUUGAAGAGGUUUGGAAAGACCCACCACAGAAGGUAAUAGUCCUGUAUGUUAAACGAGAAGACUUUAGAUAUGAUCCAGAGUACCACGGGACACGUGAAACCCUGUGGGAAGCAGGAGGGACCACCCUCCAAGGCUAAAUACUACCUAGUGACCGAUAGCGUAUAGUACCGUGAGGGAAAGGUGAAAAGAACCCCGGGAGGGGAGUGAAAUAGAACCUGAAACCCUGCACUUACAAGCUGUGGAAGCACAUUUCUUGUGUGACCGCGUACUUUUUGUAGAACGGGCCAACGAGUUACGUUAAGUAGCAAGGUUAAGCACUUAAGGUGCGGAGCCGUAGCGAAAGCGAGUUUUAACUGAGCGUUCAGUUACUUGACGUAGACCCGAAACCGGGCGACCUACCCAUGAGCAGGAUGAAGCGAAAGUAAAAUUUCGUGGAGGUCCGAACCCACGAGCGUUGAAAAGCUCGGGGAUGACUUGUGGGUAGCGGUGAAAUUCCAAUCGAGCCCGGAGAUAGCUGGUUCUCCCCGAAAUAGCUUUAGGGCUAGCCUCAAGGUGAGAGAUACGGAGGUAGAGCACUGAAUGUCCUAGGGGGUAUUGCACCUACCGAAGACUAUCAAACUCCGAAUGCCGUCAUCUUAUACUUGGGAGUCAGACUGUGGGUGAUAAGAUUCAUAGUCGAAAGGGCAACAGCCCAGAUCGUCAGCUAAGGUCCCUAAAUGUAAGUUAAGUGGUAAAGGAUGUGGGAUUGCACAGACAACCAGGAUGUUGGCUUAGAAGCAGCCACUCAUUCAAAGAGUGCGUAAUAGCUCACUGGUCGAGUGAUCCUGCGCCGAAGAUUUCCGGGGCUAAAACUUACUACCGAAGCUACGGCAUCAGUAAUGAUGGGUAGGGGAGCU
Molecule: ribosomal RNA, 1226 nt
Filed under: Clostridioides difficile
Lineage: Bacteria; Bacillati; Bacillota; Clostridia; Peptostreptococcales; Peptostreptococcaceae
Description: bacterial LSU rRNA
Rfam family: Bacterial large subunit ribosomal RNA
Source: RNAcentral